AUGCUCUCGAUGAUGCAGCUGUAGAAGUUGCUGAGGAUCUUAGGAGACAUCCCAAACUUCCUCAGCCUCCUCAGGAAGUACAGCCGCUGUUGAGCCUUCUUGACCAGCUGUGUUGUGUUGAGUGUCCAGAAAGAAAGCAACGGCAGAGCGAAUGAGAAGAGAAGCGACGGAAAAGGGAGACGAAAGGUGGCUGACAACAGAUGUUUUGAAAAAGAUUCGCAGUCAAUAAUCACAUGCACCUGGAGGGACUUGAUUGAUUACAAGGAGCGCUGGCACUGAAGCAACUGGCCAGCAGCGUUUCAGAAUGACAGGAACCGCCCCCCCGUAUCAUCACAGCCACUAUUA
Gasterosteus aculeatus aculeatus (three-spined stickleback) is the source of this 345-nucleotide long non-coding RNA. The record is from Ensembl. NCBI's taxonomy places the organism in Eukaryota, Metazoa, Chordata, Actinopteri, Perciformes, Gasterosteidae.